ACGGGAGGCAGCAGUGGGGAAUAUUGGACAAUGGGGGCAACCCUGAUCCAGCGACGCCGCGUGAGUGAAGAAGUAAUUCGUUAUGUAAAGCUCUAUCAGCAGGGACGAUAAUGACGGUACCUGACUAAGAAGCUCCGGCUAAAUACGUGCCAGCAGCCGCGGUAAUACGUAUGGAGCAAGCGUUAUCCGGAUUUACCGGGUGUAAAGGGCGUGUGGGCGGCUCUGCAAGUCAGAAGUGAAAUUCCCGGGCUCAACCUGGGCGCUGCUUCUGAAACUGCAGAACUUGAGUACUGGAGGGGAAAGCGGAAUUCCUAGUGUAGCGGUAAAAUGCGCAGAUAUUAGGAGGAACACCGGUGGCGAAGGCGGCUUUCUGGACAGUAACUGACGCUGAGGCGCGAAAGCGUGGGGAGCAAACAGGAUUAGAUACCCUGGUA
RNAcentral lists this ribosomal RNA (434 nucleotides) under uncultured Saccharofermentans sp. RNAcentral's name for it is "partial 16S ribosomal RNA". It matches the Rfam family "Bacterial small subunit ribosomal RNA", at positions 341 to 792 of the family's 1533-position model. The record is from RNAcentral. Lineage: Bacteria; Bacillati; Bacillota; Clostridia; Eubacteriales; Oscillospiraceae.